Molecule: ribosomal RNA, 465 nt
Filed under: uncultured bacterium
Lineage: Bacteria
Description: bacterial SSU rRNA
Rfam family: Bacterial small subunit ribosomal RNA
Source: RNAcentral
CCUACGGGGGGCAGCAGUGGGGAAUUUUGGACAAUGGGCGCAAGCCUGAUCCAGCCAUGCCGCGUGCGGGAAGAAGGCCUUCGGGUUGUAAACCGCUUUUGUCAGGGAAGAAACGGUCUGGGUUAAUACCCUGGGCUAAUGACGGUACCUGAAGAAUAAGCACCGGCUAACUACGUGCCAGCAGCCGCGGUAAUACGUAGGGUGCAAGCGUUAAUCGGAAUUACUGGGCGUAAAGCGUGCGCAGGCGGUUAUGCAAGACAGAUGUGAAAUCCCCGGGCUCAACCUGGGAACUGCAUUUGUGACUGCAUAGCUAGAGUACGGUAGAGGGGGAUGGAAUUCCGCGUGUAGCAGUGAAAUGCGUAGAUAUGCGGAGGAACACCGAUGGCGAAGGCAAUCCCCUGGACCUGUACUGACGCUCAUGCACGAAAGCGUGGGGAGCAAACAGGAUUAGAUACCCCAGUAGUC